CGCACCCCAGCGGCCCUUUGUGACUUAUACCUUACUGUUGCCUCGGCGCAUGCCGGCCCCAGGGGCCCCUCGAAGACGAGGACAGGCUCGGCCCUUAUAAAAUUGUGUGAACUGACAUCUGAGAAGAAAAAACAAAUGAAUCAAACUUUCACCAACGGAUCUCUUGGUUGUGGCAUCGAUGAAGAACGCAGCGAAAUGCGAUAAGUAAUGUGAAUUGCAGAAUUCAGUGAAUCAUCGAAACUUUGAACGCCAUUGCGCCCUCCGGAUUCCGGAGGGUAUGCCUGUUCAGCGGCAUUUCAACCCUCAAGCACUGCUUGGGGUUGGGGCCUGAUUCUCUCCCCGGAAGUAGGCCCAGAAAUUCAAUGGCGAGCUCGCCAGGACCCCAAGCGCAAUAAUUAAACCCUCGCUCUGGAAGGCCCUGGCGGUGCCCUGCCGUUAAACCCCCAACUCUUGAAAAUUUGACCUCGGAUCAGGUAGGAAUACCCGCUGAACUUAAGCAUAUCAAUAAGCCGGGAA
Molecule: ribosomal RNA, 516 nt
Filed under: Phomopsis sp. 38TSA
Lineage: Eukaryota; Fungi; Ascomycota; Sordariomycetes; Diaporthales; Diaporthaceae
Description: eukaryotic LSU rRNA
Rfam family: 5.8S ribosomal RNA (bases 144-294)
Source: RNAcentral